Neopsephotus bourkii (Bourke's parrot) is the source of this 605-nucleotide long non-coding RNA. RefSeq lists it as uncharacterized. The transcript is spliced from 2 exons. Lineage: Eukaryota; Metazoa; Chordata; Aves; Psittaciformes; Psittacidae. The record is from RefSeq and is a predicted model, not a curated record.
GCAGUACAAAGAUUCCCAGAACAUAAUUAAUUACAAUUCUAAUUCCAUCACUUUCAAGGAAGUACCAUUUAUUUUCAGUGACAAUACUGCCAGUUCCUUUUUCAGUGCGUGUAAAAAUUACUCAUUUCUGGGCCUUUUGAGCAAACAAGGGUCUAUACACUAUUAAGAUCUAACAUUCUUUCAGAUAAUUUCAAGGUUAAAAAAUCUGUAAUUCUAAUGUGAUCUGAAAAAAUAGGAAUUUCUUUUCCAGGAUUUUUUCACAGAUAUUCAGGAAAAAAUGGGAGAAGUAUGUUAAUGCCUAAGCUGUCAUUGCUUACAAUUUUUGCUAACCAAAUUAACAAACAAUGCUGCGGUUUCAUUAAUUAAAGCAUUCAAUUUAAGUUCCACUGUGACAAAUUUUUAAGUCCAUUAAUUUAACUUUAAUUCAAAGUACUCUUCAGAAUUAAGUGUAGCUGAAAUUAGCUUAAUUAAAACAGUACAACUUCUAGUUGUUAGUGCUUUCAUUCUAGUUUAUAACUGACCACAUAACUGGACAACGAUAAGACAACAAUAGUCCUGAAUCCGCUUGCAUGAAUCCACAAAAGGUGUAUUAGUAAUGAAAUAAG